Molecule: non-coding RNA, 186 nt
Organism: Clostridium sp. M62/1
Lineage: Bacteria; Bacillati; Bacillota; Clostridia; Eubacteriales; Clostridiaceae
Source: Rfam
GUCAUCGCGAGGUGGGGUCUGAAGGAAGCCGGAGGCAAAACACUGGCCUGUAAAAGUUGUACCCACAGGGCAUGAUACCCGGAUAGGCUGUGAAGCGUGGAUGAGGUUACCAAACAAACUAAAGUCCAAUAACUGCACGGAACGCCAGCAGUAGACGGGGCAGGUAUAAGUGGGAAAGAGCGUGUG